Molecule: long non-coding RNA, 1057 nt
Filed under: Olea europaea subsp. europaea
Lineage: Eukaryota; Viridiplantae; Streptophyta; Magnoliopsida; Lamiales; Oleaceae
Source: RNAcentral
GUCGACGUAUAAAUUUAUUGAAUAAUUUGUAAUGUUAUUUAUGUAGGAGGGCGGUCCAGCUGAUCCACGAUCACCUCCACCGAGAGUAUCACCGCUACCAUUGGCAUCACCUCCGCCGAGAGUAUCGUCCCCGCCAUUGGCAUCACCUCCAUCGAGGGCAUCACCUGAGGGCAUCGCCGCCGCCAUUGGCAUCCCUCCGUCCAGACACCUUCUCCCGUGUGUCUCCGGCACACAGUGAUGAUUUGUAUGCCCGUUUGACUGGAUUUAUAGCGGAGAAGGUCGGCGUCCUAAGACGAGAUUUGAUGGAGAGGGUCGAUGAUUUGGGACGAGAGUUGACAGAGAGGGUCGACGAUUUGGCAGGGAAGGUUGACUAUCUGACAGGGAGGGUCGACGAUAUGGGAUGAGAGUUGACAGGGAGGGUUGACGAUCUAUCCCAUGAUGUUGGAAUACGAUAGUCUUCCGUUGUCGACCUUCAGGAUACAGUAGCGACGCUUAGAGGAGAUUUAGCCGGCAGACGAUAGGGAGACAGAGGGGAUAGUGGAGAUCAUGAUCGAGAGGGUGGCAGAGAUGGUGAUGGAGAGGGGGGUCACCCACAUUUUUGGAGUGAUGAGACAUUGGAGCCAUUAUGGUUGUCUAUGGAGGGGGUGGCCCCGACGGGAGGGGCGGAGGUGGUGGCGACGGAGGGGGAGGCCUCGAUGGGAGGGGCGGAGGAGGUGGCCCCGAAGGUUGAGAGGACGCCCGGCAUGAUUGAGGGUAAGAGACAUGCUGUUGACGAGACGGAGCAGGUGGUCGGCAAGAGGUUGAGAGUGCCGUCACAGUAUGUUGUUUCCCCCUUCACGGAUGAGGCCAAGAGAAGGACGUUCAUCGAUGGGACGCACCCGAACUUAUUCAGAGAGGAGGACAAUGUCAUGUGAAAAGUGUUCGAGACAGAGUGGCGGAGAAGUAUCCCCGGAUAAGUAUUGUAUGAUUUUAAUAAAGUACUGUACGCUAACUCGUCACGCUUAUUUUAACAUUUCCCUAUUUUUUACAGAGUUAGCCGCACGAUAGGUCAAAGGAC